UUCUACAGGCUUAACACAUGCAAGUCGAGGGGCAGCAUGGUCUUAGCUUGCUAAGGCCGAUGGCGACCGGCGCACGGGUGAGUAACACGUAUCCAACCUGCCGUCUACUCUUGGACAGCCUUCUGAAAGGAAGAUUAAUACAAGAUGGCAUCAUGAGUCCGCAUGUUCACAUGAUUAAAGGUAUUCCGGUAGACGAUGGGGAUGCGUUCCAUUAGAUAGUAGGCGGGGUAACGGCCCACCUAGUCUUCGAUGGAUAGGGGUUCUGAGAGGAAGGUCCCCCACAUUGGAACUGAGACACGGUCCAAACUCCUACGGGAGGCAGCAGUGAGGAAUAUUGGUCAAUGGGCGAGAGCCUGAACCAGCCAAGUAGCGUGAAGGAUGACUGCCCUAUGGGUUGUAAACUUCUUUUAUAAAGGAAUAAAGUCGGGUAUGGAUACCCGUUUGCAUGUACUUUAUGAAUAAGGAUCGGCUAACUCCGUGCCGGCAGCCGCGGUAAUACGGAGGAUCCGAGCGUUAUCCGGAUUUAUUGGGUUUAAAGGGAGCGUAGAUGGAUGUUUAAGUCAGUUGUGAAAGUUUGCGGCUCAACCGUAAAAUUGCAGUUGAUACUGGAUAUCUUGAGUGCAGUUGAGGCAGGCGGAAUUCGUGGUGUAGCGGUGAAAUGCUUAGAUAUCACGAAGAACUCCGAUUGCGAAGGCAGCCUGCUAAGCUGCAACUGACAUUGAGGCUCGAAAGUGUGGGUAUCAAACAGGAUUAGAUACCCUGGUAGUCCACACGGUAAACGAUGAAUACUCGCUGUUUGCGAUAUACUGCAAGCGGCCAAGCGAAAGCGUUAAGUAUUCCACCUGGGGAGUACGCCGGCAACGGUGAAACUCAAAGGAAUUGACGGGGGCCCGCACAAGCGGAGGAACAUGUGGUUUAAUUCGAUGAUACGCGAGGAACCUUACCCGGGCUUAAAUUGCAGAUGAAUUACGGUGAAAGCCGUAAGCCGCAAGGCAUCUGUGAAGGUGCUGCAUGGUUGUCGUCAGCUCGUGCCGUGAGGUGUCGGCCUAAGUGCCAUAACGAGCGCAACCCUUGUUGUCAGUUACUAACAGGUUCCGCUGAGGACUCUGACAAGACUGCCAUCGUAAGAUGUGAGGAAGGUGGGGAUGACGUCAAAUCAGCACGGCCCUUACGUCCGGGGCUACACACGUGUUACAAUGGGGGGUACAGAGGGCCGCUACCACGCGAGUGGAUGCCAAUCCCCAAAACCUCUCUCAGUUCGGACUGGAGUCUGCAACCCGACUCCACGAAGCUGGAUUCGCUAGUAAUCGCGCAUCAGCCACGGCGCGGUGAAUACGUUCCCGGGCCUUGUACACACCGCCCGUCAAGCCAUGGGAGCCGGGGGUACCUGAAGUGCGUAACCGCGAGGAGCGCCCUAGGGUAAAACUGGUGACUGG
RNAcentral lists this ribosomal RNA (1436 nucleotides) under uncultured organism. RNAcentral's name for it is "SSU rRNA". It matches the Rfam family "Bacterial small subunit ribosomal RNA". The record is from RNAcentral.